Molecule: long non-coding RNA, 1822 nt
Organism: Carassius gibelio (silver crucian carp)
Lineage: Eukaryota; Metazoa; Chordata; Actinopteri; Cypriniformes; Cyprinidae
Exons: 2
Source: RefSeq, a predicted model, not a curated record
AGAGGACCUGUAGCAAGUGUCUCUAGUGUUCCCUGUUGUGUAGCCAUUGUGGCAGAGCACUUGUAACAAGUGUCUCGUGUUUCUCGUUGAGUAGCCGUCAAGGCCAGAGGACUUGUAACAAGUGUCUCGUGUUUCUCGUCGAGUAGCCGCCAUGGCAGAGCACUUGUAACAAGUGUCUCGUGUUUCUCGUUGAGUAGCCGUCAAGGCCAGAGGACUUGUAACAAGUGUCUCGUGUUUCUCGUCGAGUAGCCGUCAAGGCCAGAGGACUUGUAACAAGUGUCUCGUGUUUCUCGUUGAGUAGCCGUCAAGGCCAGAGGACUUGUAACAAGUGUCUCGUGUUCUCGUUGAGUAGCCGUCAAGGCCAGAGGACUUGUAACAAGUGUCUCGUGUUUCUCGUUGAGUAGCCGUCAAGGCCAGAGGACUUGUAACAAGUGUCUCGUGUUUCUCAUUGAGUAGCCGCCAUGGCAGAGCACUUGUAACAAGUGUCUCGUGUUUCUCGUUGAGUAGCCGUCAAGGCCAGAGGACUUGUAACAAGUGUCUCGUGUUUCUCGUUGAGUAGCCGUCAAGGCCAGAGGACUUGUAACAAGUGUCUCGUGUUCUCGUUGAGUAGCCGUCAAGGCCAGAGGACUUGUAACAAGUGUCUCGUGUUUCUCGUUGAGUAGCCGUCAAGGCCAGAGGACUUGUAACAAGUGUCUCGUGUUUCUCAUUGAGUAGUAUGGUCAGUGGUUAGAGUUGUGUUAUCGUCGGGGCGACGAUAAAAUAACUGGGGCAGAUUGUGGCAAAGUAGAUAAUCUCCCUCCCCUGGUACUUAGAAACGGCCUAUCAGGGCUCAGUCAUUGCUUUAUAAAGGCUGUGAUUAGGCUACCUGGGAUGCGUCAUUGUUGGCCCCGCCCAUCCGGUACGUGUGCGCUUCCGCCUAACAAAGCUGGAGUCGCCUUUUUGCAGCUUGAAUAGCCAAUUAUUCCUGGCUUCGCUGUGGUUUUCAGGCUGUUCUUGCCACCUGGUUAGACUGAUUUCAUUCAAGUAAUCUUCUGAGACUUGUGCUGUGAGCAACUGUAUGAGGUGUGUGUAACGCUGUAGUCAAUACCUGGUAUGUAUAGAUACACAUGUAUAUGCAUUUCUUUUUAAUGAACACUUGUGUUUUAAAUUUUAACUAAUGGGUUGUUUUUUAGUAGGACAAAGUUUUGGGAACAUCCGCCCGUUUGCGGGUGGGGAAGAUCGCCUCCUGCAUAAUAGCAGAUUAAAGACGGCGUUGCUGUUUUGCUGUUUUGCUGUUUAAUUAAGUUUUGUUGUGCUCGUAUCAUUGUAUGGUUUUUGGUUAUUGUUUGUUUUCGUUACAAUUGAUUUUUGUUUGAUUUUGUAGUGAUUUGUUAAAACUUUUGCUUUAAAUAUAUAUUUCUUUCCUUUUCAUUUCAGUUGUCUUUAAGUGACCAUUGUUAAUUUUUUUUUACAUUUUGUUGUGUGUUUUGGUAAUUGUUUCAGUCAAUCAGGCUUUAGAUUAAUUUCGUUUUGUACAUUUGAGUAAAUUGUGUUCUUUGUGUUUUAGGCCCCUGAGUCGGGUGGCUAGCUGUCCUAGUAUCCUGGUGGUGGUGGUGUUUGGAGCACGGAGUGUGGAUUGUCGUUUGUAGUCACUCACCUCACUCUGUGUGUGUGUGUGUGUGUGCUUUUACGAAUAGCCAUUUUUGCAGCUAGCCUACCCUGCUAGGGGUAAGCCUUCGUAAAACUGAUUAAUGUAUGCCUGGUCGAUUCAUAUCUUUGCCUGAUCUUUUAAAAGGUGUAUUUUCUACUUUGUGAAUUUAAUAAAUAUUUGUAUACGCUAGUG